This 1373-nucleotide ribosomal RNA is filed under the name uncultured bacterium. RNAcentral's name for it is "16S ribosomal RNA". It matches the Rfam family "Bacterial small subunit ribosomal RNA". The record is from RNAcentral.
AGUUUGAUCCUGGCUCAGGACGAACGCUUUCGGCGUGCUUAACACACGCAAGUCGAACGGAAAGGCCCUUCGGGGUACUCGAGUGGCGAACGGGUGAGUAACACGUGGGUGAUCUGCCCUGCACUUUGGGAUAAGCCUGGGAAACUGGGUCUAAUACCAAAUAGGACCACGCGCUUCGAGGUGUGUGGAGGAAAGCUUUUGCGGUGUGGGAUGGGCCCGCGGCCUAUCAGCUUGUUGGUGGGGUAAUGGCCUACCAAGGCGACGACGGGUAGCCGGCCUGAGAGGGUGACCGGCCACACUGGGACUGAGAUACGGCCCAGACUCCUACGGGAGGCAGCAGUGGGGAAUAUUGCACAAUGGGCGCAAGCCUGAUGCAGCGACGCCGCGUGAGGGAUGACGGCCGUCGGGUUGUAAACCUCUUUCAGUAGGGACGAAGCGCAAGUGACGGUACCUAUAGAAGAAGCACCGGCCAACUACGUGCCAGCAGCCGCGGUAAUACGUAGGGUGCGAGCGUUGUCCGGAAUUACUGGGCGUAAAGAGCUCGUAGGUGGUUUGUCGCGUUGUUCGUGAAAACUCACAGCUUAACUGUGGGCGUGCGGGCGAUACGGGCAGACUAGAGUACUGCAGGGGAGACUGGAAUUCCCGGUGUAGCGGUGGAAUGCGCAGAUAUCAGGAGGAACACCGGUGGCGAAGGCGGGUCUCUGGGCAGUAACUGACGCUGAGGAGCGAAAGCGUGGGGAGCGAACAGGAUUAGAUACCCUGGUAGUCCACGCCGUAAACGGUGGGUACUAGGUGUGGGUUCCUUCCCUGGGAUCCGUGCCGUAGCUAACGCAUUAAGUACCCCGCCUGGGGAGUACGGCCGCAAGGCUAAAACUCAAAGGAAUUGACGGGGGCCCGCACAAGCGGCGGAGCAUGUGGAUUAAUUCGAUGCAACGCGAAGAACCUUACCUGGGUUUGACAUGCACAGGACGCCGGCAGAGAUGUCGGUUCCCUUGUGGCCUGUGUGCAGGUGGUGCAUGGCUGUCGUCAGCUCGUGUCGUGAGAUGUUGGGUUAAGUCCCGCAACGAGCGCAACCCUUGUCCUAUGUUGCCAGCGGGUUAUGCCGGGGACUCGUAGGAGACUGCCGGGGUCAACUCGGAGGAAGGUGGGGAUGACGUCAAGUCAUCAUGCCCCUUAUGUCCAGGGCUUCACACAUGCUACAAUGGCCGGUACAAAGGGCUGCGAUGCCGUGAGGUGGAGCGAAUCCUUUCAAAGCCGGUCUCAGUUCGGAUCGGGGUCUGCAACUCGACCCCGUGAAGUCGGAGUCGCUAGUAAUCGCAGAUCAGCAACGCUACGGUGAAUACGUUCCCGGGCCUUGCACUCACCGCCCGUCA